UUCUGCUGUCAAGAUUUGCUCCGAUGGAAUAUGGGUAUAAAUAUCCCUCUGAUCUGAGACCGCCACGAUGACUUGCAAGCAACUCACUGCACUUAGGCACUGGACUACCUGAAUUUUUAAUUCAGUGACGGAAGGUUGCUGGGUGUAGUCAAGUACUUGACUUGUCGGUGCGUGUGUCAAGAUGGGAUUGACCACUCCAGUUUAGGAGCUGUGUACAAUCAUAUUUCAAUUUAGCAAAAUCUUGGCCAGGGUAGUCCUUGUGAGGAGUCACAGGACUGUUUGAGUUGAGCACGAUUCGGAUGAUCUAAUCAGGGUUGACAGUUUAACCCUGAGUCAUCCUAAACAUAGAGGUCAAAAAGAUGAAUUAUACAGUAACCAUAUUCACGUAGGUUCUGAGUGUUGCGAUUGUGACCAUUCGACCUAUCCGAUCGUCGGAUACCAUUGCUAGAUGGUCACUUCGAUUAGUACAG
This 470-nucleotide long non-coding RNA is filed under the name Elaeis guineensis (African oil palm). RNAcentral's name for it is "long non-coding RNA (EGUI_LNC078829)". Lineage: Eukaryota; Viridiplantae; Streptophyta; Magnoliopsida; Arecales; Arecaceae. The record is from RNAcentral.